UACGUAGGCAGCGAGCGUUGUUCGGAGUUACUGGGCGUAAAGGGUGUGUAGGCGGUCUUCUAAGUUUGGUGUGAAAUCUCCCGGCUCAACUGGGAGGGUGCGCCGAAAACUGGGAGGCUAGAGUACUGGAUGGGAGAGUGGAAUUCCUGGUGUAGCGGUGAAAUGCGUAGAUAUCAGGAGGAACACCGGUGGUGUAGACGGCUCUCUGGACAGUAACUGACGCUGAGACACGAAAGCGUGGGUAGCAAACAGG
This 253-nucleotide ribosomal RNA is filed under the name uncultured bacterium. RNAcentral's name for it is "partial 16S ribosomal RNA". It matches the Rfam family "Bacterial small subunit ribosomal RNA", at positions 524 to 776 of the family's 1533-position model. The record is from RNAcentral.